RNAcentral lists this long non-coding RNA (516 nucleotides) under Selaginella moellendorffii. RNAcentral describes it as "long non-coding RNA (SMOE_LNC000538)". The record is from RNAcentral. Lineage: Eukaryota; Viridiplantae; Streptophyta; Lycopodiopsida; Selaginellales; Selaginellaceae.
UCGUCAGCUUUUGCAAGCAUAGAGCCUUGAACUCCUCGCUUCACCAGAACUUGUUUCACUCCCUGUCACAAAGGUUUGUUUCUUAGUUUGAUCUUUUCCUUUCUCUCUCUCUCUCUCUCUCUCUCUCUCUCUCUUCUCACCAUGUCGAGGCACUUGUUUGCAGCACGGACGACUUCCUGCGUUGUCUCCGUCGGCAUGCUCGUGAGACGAGCAAGCUCCGUCUCGUUUGGACUCAAAACCGUGAUAUACUUGAGAAGUUCUUCCGGAAUGGGCGAAUCGAAGCCUCCUGCGUCCAUGAUGACGGGAAUGUCCGCUUCUCUUGCAAUCCGAAAAAGGCAACCGAAGUGUGAGCGAGCUUCGCAACGACGACCAAGGAAGAGAAACUCGGUAAAAAUUCAACUUUGAGUACCUUUGCGGCUUCGAUGUUGACAUCGUCUGGGAUUUCUCUCUGCAGGAGAAGAGCGCCGGCUUUUCGAAUGGUUUCCUCGGCCUGGACGGGAAUGGUCGACGAUCCCG